This 520-nucleotide ribosomal RNA is filed under the name uncultured Glomus. Its description in RNAcentral is "SSU rRNA". It matches the Rfam family "Eukaryotic small subunit ribosomal RNA", at positions 569 to 1089 of the family's 1831-position model. The record is from RNAcentral. Lineage: Eukaryota; Fungi; Glomeromycota; Glomeromycetes; Glomerales; Glomeraceae.
AGCAGCCGCGGUAAUUCCAGCUCCAAUAGCGUAUAUUAAAGUUGUUGCAGUUAAAAAGCUCGUAGUUGAGUUUCGGGGUUAGUAGGUUGGUCAUGCCUCUGGUAUGUACUGGUCUCACUGAUUCCUCCUUCCUGAUGAGCCGUAAUGCCAUUAAUUUGGUGUUGCGGGGAAUUUGGACUGUUACUUUGAAAAAAUUAGAGUGUUUAAAGCAAGCUAACGCUUGAAUACAUUAGCAUGGAAUAAUGAAAUAGGACGUUUGAUUCUAUUUUGUUGGUUUCUAGGAUCGACGUAAUGAUUAAUAGGGAUAGUUGGGGGCAUUAGUAUUCAAUUGUCAGAGGUGAAAUUCUUGGAUUUAUUGAAGACUAACUACUGCGAAGGCAUUUUGCCAAGGAUGUUUUCAUUAAUCAAGAACGAAAGUUAGGGGAUCGAAGACGAUCAGAUACCGUCGUAGUCUUAACCAUAAACUAUGCCGACUAGGGAUCGGAUGAUGUUGAUUUUUUAAUGACUCAUUCGGCGCCUU